GAGGCGGAACUUAGGUUUAGAUUCAGCUAUUUACAGCUGUUGGGACUCCAUUCAAAAUCCCCGAAACUGGCUUUUAACCAGUGGGGCGCUGGUUUGAGUCCAGCGCGGCUCA
Molecule: transfer RNA, 112 nt
Filed under: Chloracidobacterium sp.
Lineage: Bacteria; Pseudomonadati; Acidobacteriota; Blastocatellia; Chloracidobacteriales; Chloracidobacteriaceae
Description: tRNA-Lys
Source: RNAcentral